UGAGCAAUCUGCCCUUCUCAUCGGAAUAAGCGUUGGAAACGACGUCUAAUGCCGAAUACGACCUCCUUUCGCAUGAUCGGAGGUGGAAAGCUCCGGCGGAGAAGGAUGAGCUCGCGGUCUAUCAGCUAGUUGGUGUGGGUAAUGGCCCACCAAGGCGACGACGGGUAGCCGGCCUGAGAGGGUGACCGGCCACACUGGGACUGAGACACGGCCCAGACCUCCGUACGGGAGCA
RNAcentral lists this ribosomal RNA (233 nucleotides) under uncultured bacterium. Its description in RNAcentral is "partial 16S ribosomal RNA". It matches the Rfam family "Bacterial small subunit ribosomal RNA", at positions 118 to 347 of the family's 1533-position model. The record is from RNAcentral.